Molecule: long non-coding RNA, 896 nt
Organism: Cynocephalus volans (Philippine flying lemur)
Lineage: Eukaryota; Metazoa; Chordata; Mammalia; Dermoptera; Cynocephalidae
Exons: 4
Source: RefSeq, a predicted model, not a curated record
CUGGACCUCGACCUUCCGCCCUCCUGACUCCCCCGCAAACCCCUGGCUGCAGAUGGAGCGCGGCCCGGCUGGGUUGGGGGCCCCGCUCUGUGGACCACGGGAUGGGGAGCGGGCCCCCGCGGUGCGGCCGAGGGAAGGGAGCCGUCCCAGCCCGGGAGGUCCGGGGGUUUGUCCGCUGGAGCCUGAGCACCUGUAAGGGGAUGCUGGAGUCUUGGGAAGGAAGGUGACUGUCAAGCGGAGAAGACCCAGCGUGAGCGUUGGCCAGAACGCGCGGCCCUUGCAGCCUCAGCUCAGGUCAAGAUGCAGAGGCCGGGAAGGAUGUGGGCCUAGCUCUGUGCCGUGCAGCCAGUCGGAUGAAGUGCGGAUGCCUGGGACCUGGCAUCACACAUGUGGCUGCUGCUGCCAUCUCAGGUGCACCGAGCGCCUGGUGUGUGUGCAGCCUCAGCUCCAAGGCCCACCCACAGCCUGGGCCUCUAGCCAGGCACCAGUCUGUGCUGCAGCUAGGGACAGUCCUUCCCCAACGAUGGAAGGACUCCGUGAGCUCUUGGCAGCUGGGUUAUCGUGAUUCUUAGGUGGUUCUGCUACUGUAUUCUGAUGGUAAAUAUGUUUUGGCAGUUUUUCCCUGCCAGAGAUCCUAAACUAUACUUUUUACUGUAUUUGGAUUAUCUUGGUUUGGGUUUUUUCUCCCAAUAAUGGGAAAAAGGUUAUUUUAAAAUAUUGGAUGAAGUUUAAGAAUUAGCACUAAAAAUACGCAUGUGACAGCUGACGUUCUGGAAUUGCAGCUGGAACUGCAGUUGAAGUUUUAACAAAAGGUGUCAAAGUGAAUUGAAAGAUCUAUUCAGUGCACUUUUCUUCAAGGACAUUUCUUGUGUUGGCAAAACUUGGGAAUAAACUGA